Non-coding RNA from Mycena leptocephala, 80 nucleotides. Lineage: Eukaryota; Fungi; Basidiomycota; Agaricomycetes; Agaricales; Mycenaceae. The record is from the annotation of a GenBank genome assembly.
GGUUGUGUAGUGUAGCGGUUAUCACUCCAGAUUCUGAUUUGUGAAUUCUGGCAACCCCGGUUCGAUUCCGGGCACGACCU